CAGGCCUUACACAUGCAAGUCGAGGGGUAGAAAAAGCUUGCUUUUUUGAGACCGGCGCACGGGUGAGUAACGCGUAUGCAACCAACCUUAUACAGGGGAAUAGCCCGAAGAAAUUCGGAUUAAUGCUCCAUGGUUUAUCGAUAUGGCAUCGUAUUGAUAAUAAAGAUUUAUCGGUAUAAGAUGGGCAUGCGUAUCAUUAGCUAGUUGGUGUGGUAACGGCAUACCAAGGCAACGAUGAUUAGGGGUCCUGAGAGGGAGAUCCCCCACACUGGUACUGAGACACGGACCAGACUCCUACGGGAGGCAGCAGUGAGGAAUAUUGGUCAAUGGAGGCAACUCUGAACCAGCCAUGCCGCGUGCAGGAUGACGGUCCUAUGGAUUGUAAACUGCUUUUGUACAGGAAGAAACCUCCCUACGAGUAGGGACUUGACGGUACUGUAAGAAUAAGGAUCGGCUAACUCCGUGCCAGCAGCCGCGGUAAUACGGAGGAUCCGAGCGUUAUCCGGAAUUAUUGGGUUUAAAGGGUUCGUAGGCGGCUUUGUAAGUCAGUGGUGAAAUUUCCUAGCUUAACUAGGACACUGCCAUUGAUACUGCAGAACUUGAAUAAUAUGGAAGUAACUAGAAUAUGUAGUGUAGCGGUGAAAUGCUUAGAUAUUACAUGGAAUACCAAUUGCGAAGGCAGGUUACUACGUACUUAUUGACGCUGAUGAACGAAAGCGUGGGGGAGCGAACAGGAUUAGAUACCCUGGUAGUCCACGCCGUAAACGAUGGAUACUAGCUGUUCGGUUUUCGGACUGAGUGGCUA
RNAcentral lists this ribosomal RNA (805 nucleotides) under Myroides gitamensis. RNAcentral's name for it is "bacterial SSU rRNA". It matches the Rfam family "Bacterial small subunit ribosomal RNA", at positions 43 to 849 of the family's 1533-position model. The record is from RNAcentral. Lineage: Bacteria; Pseudomonadati; Bacteroidota; Flavobacteriia; Flavobacteriales; Flavobacteriaceae.